GCCCCAAUAGCUCAGUAGGUAGAGCAUCUCCAUGGUAAGGAGAAGGUCUGCGGUUCAAUUCCGCAUUGGGGCU
Molecule: transfer RNA, 73 nt
Filed under: Candidatus Nanopelagicales bacterium
Lineage: Bacteria; Bacillati; Actinomycetota; Actinomycetes; Candidatus Nanopelagicales
Also listed under: 1 other name
Description: tRNA-Thr
Rfam family: tRNA
About the family: Transfer RNA (tRNA) molecules are approximately 80 nucleotides in length.
Source: RNAcentral